RNAcentral lists this microRNA precursor (91 nucleotides) under Tursiops truncatus (common bottlenose dolphin). Its description in RNAcentral is "miRNA (ENSTTRG00000023682.1)". The record is from RNAcentral. Lineage: Eukaryota; Metazoa; Chordata; Mammalia; Artiodactyla; Delphinidae.
UGAGUAAGACACUGGCCCUGGCCCCAAGGAGCUUACAAUCUAGCUGGAUGUAUGCAGGAUGAGAAAAGUGCAUAAACAAAAAGGCUGAGAG